This 253-nucleotide ribosomal RNA is filed under the name uncultured bacterium. RNAcentral's name for it is "partial 16S ribosomal RNA". It matches the Rfam family "Bacterial small subunit ribosomal RNA", at positions 524 to 776 of the family's 1533-position model. The record is from RNAcentral.
UACGUAGGGGGCGAGCGUUGUCCGGAAUUACUGGGCGUAAAGGGCGCGUAGGCGGCCCGCUAAGUCUGUUGUGAAAGACCGGGGCUCAACCCCGGGGUGUCAACGGAGACUGGUGGGCUGGAGGCCUGCAGAGGAGUGCGGAAUUCCUGGUGUAGCGGUGGAAUGCGUAGAGAUCAGGAGGAACACCGAUGGCGAAGGCAGCACUCUGGGCGGGACCUGACGCUGAGGCGCGAAAGCUGGGGGAGCGAACGGG